UAAUACGGAGGGUCCAAGCGUUAUCCGGAUUUAUUGGGUUUAAAGGGUGUGUAGGCGGAAAUAUAAGUCAGCGGUGAAAUCCUGCAGCUUAACUGCAGAACUGCCGCUGAUACUGUGUUUCUUGAGUAUAGUUGAAGUGGGCGGAAUGUGUCAUGUAGCGGUGAAAUGCAUAGAUAUGACACAGAACACCGAUUGCGAAGGCAGCUCACUAAACUAUUACUGACGCUGAGGCACGAAAGCGUGGGUAGCGAACAGGAUUAGAUACCCUGGUAGUCCACGCCGUAAACGAUGAUUACUCGAUGUUGGCGAUACACUGUCAGCGUCCAAGCGAAAGUGUUAAGUAAUCCACCUGGGGAGUACGGUCGCAAGAUUG
This 373-nucleotide ribosomal RNA is filed under the name uncultured Bacteroidota bacterium. RNAcentral describes it as "bacterial SSU rRNA". It matches the Rfam family "Bacterial small subunit ribosomal RNA", at positions 521 to 896 of the family's 1533-position model. Lineage: Bacteria; Pseudomonadati; Bacteroidota. The record is from RNAcentral.